AUUGAACGCUGGCGGCAUGCUUUACACAUGCAAGUCGAACGGCAGCGCGGGCUUCGGCCUGGCGGCGAGUGGCGAACGGGUGAGUAAUACAUCGGAACGUGCCCAGUAGUGGGGGAUAGCUCGGCGAAAGCCGGAUUAAUACCGCAUACGACCUGAGGGUGAAAGCGGGGGAUCUUCGGACCUCGCGCUAUUGGAGCGGCCGAUGGCAGAUUAGCUAGUUGGUGGGGUAAAGGCCUACCAAGGCGACGAUCUGUAGCUGGUCUGAGAGGACGACCAGCCACACUGGGACUGAGACACGGCCCAGACUCCUACGGGAGGCAGCAGUGGGGAAUUUUGGACAAUGGGUGAAAGCCUGAUCCAGCAAUGCCGCGUGUGUGAUGAAGGCCUUCGGGUUGUAAAGCACUUUUGGCGGGAACGAAAAGGACUGUGCCAAUACCACGGUUCGAUGACGGUACCCGCAGAAUAAGCACCGGCUAACUACGUG
This 484-nucleotide ribosomal RNA is filed under the name uncultured bacterium. Its description in RNAcentral is "partial 16S ribosomal RNA". It matches the Rfam family "Bacterial small subunit ribosomal RNA", at positions 29 to 507 of the family's 1533-position model. The record is from RNAcentral.